CUACGGGAGGCAGCAGUGGGGAGUAUUGCACAAUGGGCGCAAGCCUGAUGCAGCAACGCCGCGUGAGGGAAGACGGUUUUCGGAUUGUAAACCUCUGUCUUUGGUGACGAAGAAGUGACGGUAGCUGAUGAAGAAGCCACGGCUAACUACGUGCCAGCAGCCGC
RNAcentral lists this ribosomal RNA (164 nucleotides) under uncultured bacterium. RNAcentral describes it as "partial 16S ribosomal RNA". It matches the Rfam family "Bacterial small subunit ribosomal RNA", at positions 339 to 518 of the family's 1533-position model. The record is from RNAcentral.